RNA transcript from Vespa velutina, 3902 nucleotides. It is a transcript of the gene named probable small nuclear ribonucleoprotein Sm D1, with no coding region annotated. The record is from RefSeq and is a predicted model, not a curated record. The transcript has 6 exons. Lineage: Eukaryota; Metazoa; Arthropoda; Insecta; Hymenoptera; Vespidae.
AGGUUAAAUAAGGUUGCGUUUUGGAACACCAUUAUAGCGUCCCGCGCAUCUCAUGUAGAGACAAACGAAAGAGGUAUGAUACCGGUAUUACUAAUUUUUCUGAUACAAAACGAUAUAAAAUAAUUAUUCUGGCCACAUCAUGAAGCUAGUAAGAUUUUUGAUGAAACUCAGUCAUGAGACUGUAACGAUAGAAUUAAAAAAUGGAACUCAAGUACAUGGUACAAUUACAGGUGUAGAUGUAGCAAUGAAUACCCAUUUAAAAACAGUAAAGAUGAUAAUUAAGAAUAGAGAUCCUGUACAGUUGGAUACUUUAAGUUUACGAGGGAAUAAUAUACGGUAUUAUAUUCUACCUGAAUCUCUUACGUUGGAGACAUUACUUAUUGACGACACACCAAAGGCAAAAGCUAAAAAGAAAGAAGCUGCAAGAGGAGCAGCACGUGGAAGGGGCCGUGGUGGUCGUGGUGCAAGAGGUGGUAGAGGAGGUAGAGGAAGAGGACGAGGCAGACGAUAGUAGUUUAAAAUUUCUUAAGUAUUUUCUACCUGUGGACAAUUGAGAAAAAAUGGAAAUACUUACCUUCAUACGAUAUAAGAAAUAUGAGUGAUUAAUAAAAUCUUUUGCACUGCGAUUAUUUUCAAUUAAAAUUAUAGAUUUGAUAGUAUUAAUAUAGAAAAGCAGUACAAUUUUAUUUCUAGCAUAACCAGUACAAAAAUAAAAAUUGAUUCUUUGAUUAAAUAUAAGUGAGAUGUACAACUUUACAAUCUUAUAUGUAUGUGAUAUCAUCAAAAAGGAUUGUAGUUGGAUGUAUUCAAUUAAUUAUGCGAUGUUGUCGUAAUAAUCUCGAUGUUGACGACGUAGACGAUAUGUCCGAAUAUGACGUUCAUGAUGUCCCUGUGCAUUUCCAACCGCAAAUCUUUCCUAUGGCUUUGCAAGAACGACAAGAGGUCUUUCAACAUAGACCAGAUGCACCAGGAACGAGAAGACGUUCACCACCAGAAAUUGUUUCAAAGAUGAUUCAGGCUUUGGAAGAAUUAACUGAAACAAAAUCAUUGCCCGCCAUCGACAUGGUGCGCGGUUGUCAUCGACUUACAUUCGAAUCUUCUUUUCGACUGGUAAACGAAGAAAAUAGUUAAUAUUUAAUAUAACAACGGUGCGUAAAGAUCAUCGUGCGUUAAUAAUAUUCGAUGUUGAAGAUAAUUAUCAUUUUAUGCGAAACAAAAUAUUUAAAUAUUAUUUUCUUAUCUUUUCGUUUGUUCUUACGAAUUGUCGACGUCUUAUUAUUACUUUUCUUUUUUUUUUUCUUAACUUAACAAUUUCUAUCAGUUUUAAAGUCUAACAAUGUUUUGCAUAAAUAAAAAUAAAAUUACAUUUUUAAUGUUUAACCGAUUAACCGAUCAGCAAAAUUAUGGUACAGGAAUUAUGUAGCGGAUAAAAGUUCAAGGCGAUUUUUUUCAUGAAUUAUCGCAUUAUGUUUCAAAUAUCCGCAAGGUAUUAAGUCAUAAGGGUCAUAAAAUCAUACACGAAAAGUGUACAUAUAUAUCCUUUCAUCGAUUUACUUUUAUACGCGGUAAAUAAUCCCUCCGUUUUUAUGCGGAUUUAUACUCUGUAUCAAUUUACGAGAUCUCAUUUUACGCUAUGAGAAAAUAUAUUUUUCUAUAAUCUUUAAUGAUUAAGCAAAUUUUCAAAUAUAUCUAGCGAUGAAGAUAAUGAUUUUGUACAAAUUAAAAAGAAAAGAUUGAUUGUUAUAGAUUACGGUAUCGGCAUAGAUAACGAAUAAAAUUUAUUUUUAUUUUUAUGAAUUUUUAUUAUUAGUUCUUUUUUUUUUUUUUUUAUAUAUAUAUAAAAAUAUGCGAAAUAAAUACUUCUGUAACUUUUGUCGGCAUUUUUCUUUAGUAUUUUUUUUCGUAUUGACGGACUCUUCCGCGGUUUCCUUCCGCGUUAAGAAAAAAAAAGAAAAAAAAAAAAAAAAGAAGAAAAAAACGCGUGGAACAAACAAUCCGCAUAAAUCGAAAAACGGAUGUAUAAUUAAAAGAAUAUUCUAUUAAUCGCUGAAAAGAUCAUCGUUUUAAACUUUUGUCCUCUACUGUAUAUUAUCAAAAUUAUUAUUAUCUCGUUACGAAGCUUAAUGAAUGAAUCAUAUAUUUUUUCCAAAUGUUUACAUUUGUUCAUUUAUUACAUCAAAAUGAUCGUUUUAUUUGUGUAAAAGUAUAUAAUAAUAUAUGGAGAGGAUAGUUUGCGUUAGAAGGGAAUAUUCAUCAAUACACAUUUAUAGUUACUUGUUAAUUAUUUGUGGUCGUAUACCCUUAGGACAUGACAGUUAUCUAAUCCUUUCACAUUCGUCGUUCUAUUUCACUUUCAAGUUGGUAAAAGAAUUCUUGAGGUUGAUCGAGUUCAAAUGGAAGAGUCGAUAAGAUACGAUCGAUUUAUUUGAAUUGAAAUAAAACGCUCGACAUUAUAGGCAGUAUAAAAUAAGGCAAAGGAGAAUCCAAAAUUACGUUUAUAAAAAUCCAAUAAUGCCGCAAGCUAAUCGAGCUCCGGAUGAACCAGUUUUAAUGCUUUCUUCGGUUCCUCCACGACCAAAGUCAUCUGGUUUUGCAUGUAUCACCAAUGCUCUUCCUACGGCACCACGAACUCCAACCAAACUCAGAUAGCGAUCCAUACCAUUGAUUUGUGCUACUCCAUCAGGGCCGACCUCGAUGUUACCCAAAUCUCCGACAUGCCGUAACGGAUCGUUUGGUGCUCCGUGAUUUACCUAUAUAUCAUAUAUGUACGCAUGUAUGUAUAUGAAAUAUUGUAUGGCACGAAAUUAAAGAAAAAAAGAAAAAAGAAAAACAAAAUGUUUACAUAUAUUACCAUGUAAGGGUUAAAGUGCGGUCCAGCAGAAUCACACCCUUCUCUAAGAUCACCCUUUUCAUGUACAUGGAAUCCAUGCAUACCCGGACUCAAACCUGUUAUAGUCCCAAUUAUUUUAACUCCAUCGGCUUGUUGUUCCAGUGUCAACCUUCCUUUAGGACCUUCUAUUGGCAAUCCAUCUUUCCCGAGUGCUCUCAUCUCAACCACUGCUUUCAAUCCUAUUACCUGCAUAUUUCGAUAGAAUUUAAUAAUAGAAAAUAUUGCUAAUAAAAGAGGAGAAAGAGGACAAAGAGAGAAAGAAAUAGAUAGAUAGAUAUAUAGAUAGAUAGAGAGAUUCUUAAUACAUACAAAAAAAUAGGGUUCCAUGUAAACUUCGUACAAGUUGCUUCUACUUCCAGGAUAACCGGGAAGACUCCUUAUGAAUAGUGUCCUUUCGUUUGUGUUCAUUAUCGCUCCUUCAUAGACCUCGGCGUACGUUUUCCACGUUAGAAGGAUCAUCAUGAUCGAAAUUCUCAAUGAUUUUUGCAUCUUUUUAUGGUACACGUAUCGUUAUUAGAAAGAUUCGUUUCUCCUCGAAGACGGAUAACGUCUGCUGGGUUUACUCUCUUGACUUCUAUUUAUGGGUUACGUCACCGACGAGUCACGACGAGGACAAGACCGGAUUAUGGUGCUGGAAGGCACUUGCACCACGUAUAUAAAUAUCCGUAGGAUAUAUGUAAGUAUACAUACAUUUGUACUAUUGGUUACUGGUAAACGCAUUAAUACAUGGACAUUUAUAUUUCUGUAUAGUUAUAAGAUUUAUCUUCAUAAUAUAAUGUAAUAAUUCACCAAAUGGAAUUAGUUUUAGUUAUUAAAUUUGAUGCUACCACGCGUUGGUUUGAACUAUAUUUCCUAUUAUGUAGUAAUUUUCUUUACACAAUUGUAACGUUUGAGAAGUUUAAUCGAUAACAGUGAGAGAGAAACGAGCUCUUUGUUUCUUUGAACCGAUUCUGAAUUAAUCGCCAUAAGUAUAAAGCAAAACAAUUCGAUUCGUGUAUUCAUAUAUAAAAAU